GAGAGCUACACUGCUCUCUUAGAAUUUUUCUAGAGGGUUUCCUAACUUUGGUCAUAAAACCCAU
Mastomys coucha (southern multimammate mouse) is the source of this 64-nucleotide small nuclear RNA. RefSeq annotates it as U7 small nuclear RNA. The record is from RefSeq and is a predicted model, not a curated record. The transcript has a single exon. NCBI's taxonomy places the organism in Eukaryota, Metazoa, Chordata, Mammalia, Rodentia, Muridae.